AGUGAACGCUGGCGGUAGGCCUAACACAUGCAAGUCGAACGGCAGCACAGUAAGAGCUUGCUCUUACGGGUGGCGAGUGGCGGACGGGUGAGGAAUACAUCGGAAUCUACUUUUUCGUGGGGGAUAACGUAGGGAAACUUACGCUAAUACCGCAUACGACCUACGGGUGAAAGCAGGGGAUCUUCGGACCUUGCGCGAUUGAAUGAGCCGAUGUCGGAUUAGCUAGUUGGCGGGGUAAAGGCCCACCAAGGCGACGAUCCGUAGCUGGUCUGAGAGAAUGAUCAGCCACACUGGAACUUAGACACGGUCCAGACUCCUACGGGAGGCAGCAGUGGGGAAUAUUGGACAAUGGGCGCAAGCCUGAUCCAGCCAUACCGCGUGGGUGAAGAAGGCCUUCGGGUUGUAAAGCCCUUUUGUUGGGAAAGAAAAGCAGCAGGUUAAUACCCCGCUGUUCUGACGGUACCCAAAGAAUAAGCACCGGCUAACUUCGUG
RNAcentral lists this ribosomal RNA (492 nucleotides) under uncultured bacterium. RNAcentral's name for it is "partial 16S ribosomal RNA". It matches the Rfam family "Bacterial small subunit ribosomal RNA", at positions 29 to 507 of the family's 1533-position model. The record is from RNAcentral.